This 1060-nucleotide long non-coding RNA is filed under the name Homo sapiens (human). RNAcentral's name for it is "HSALNT0289961". The record is from RNAcentral. Lineage: Eukaryota; Metazoa; Chordata; Mammalia; Primates; Hominidae.
CCGAACCCAGCGAAGCCCGGUCCUAUGCCCCCAAUUACCCAACGGUCCCUCAUCGCCCAGCGCAGCUGCUGCCUGGCCAGGCCCUUGCUCCGGAGGAGUCACUGGAAAGUUCCAGGGAAUCUGGGCCUCCCGGACUCUCCACCGGCGUUUCACUGCUCCCUUCCCAUGCCAGGACUCCUCUGUGCCUACCUGGCCUCCAGGAUCUUUGCCAACGGUCUUGAGGAGCCAGGCACAGGAUUGGACUCUGCCCGGGCAGGAGGAUGAAGACAGUGACUUCCCCACCAAGACUCCCGGCAGAGGGCCAGAGGCAGGGAAGUGUGGUGGCAGGAGGGCCAGCCUUGCCGUGGCUGGACCAGGGGCCAGCGCUUGCUAACUCGGGGUCCUGGCCGAGUUGUGUGGCCUCUCCGACCCUCGGUCUCCUCAUCUGUAAGAUGGGUCCCACAGCCCCUCCCCGGGGAGGUGUUUGCAGGGCUCCAUGAGAAGGCCUUACACACACUGUGGCUAUGGUGAUCUGUGAGCCGGUCAGAGGACCCGAGAGGCAGCAGGGUGACUCAGCAGUUUCCCUGCCGGGCCGCCCCUGGGUCAUCGUCCCCUAGAGCCUCUCCCUGAGGGGUGUGAGGGAGCGGAUCCCAUUAAGAGGCGAAGGAGGCAGGGAGGUCCUGGAACCAGCGGGGCCUAUGGCGGCCGGCGGGGAAGGAGGCGCCGGCAGUGCUGCCACCUAGCGGUGUGAGGAGGCGGUGCUGCACCAGGGAGGCCCUUCCUGCAACCGGAGUGGGCCUGGAAGGGGCCGGCUUCGCACACUAGGAGCCAGCAGGGCAGGGAGGGGCUCCGGACCGGACCGUGUCGGCUCCAGGAACCCCUUGGGCAGCCUUGUGGACACCUGCUGACCUCUCUCAGAAUGGCUUCUAAGUGCAUAGAUGAAAAAGCCCAGGAUUAUUAGGAAACCAAUUCUAUGCAAAUGCAUUAUCAAAAGAGUAAUAAAAACAAAUUUCUGAUAUAGCCGUAUAUAUUAUUUAUUAAUACACUUAGUAAGCAAUUGACAGAUCCUAAAUUACGUUCC